UCAGUAACGUCUCUUUUUCCU
RNAcentral lists this non-coding RNA (21 nucleotides) under Caenorhabditis elegans. Lineage: Eukaryota; Metazoa; Nematoda; Chromadorea; Rhabditida; Rhabditidae. The record is from RNAcentral.